Molecule: ribosomal RNA, 574 nt
Filed under: Enterobacter sp.
Lineage: Bacteria; Pseudomonadati; Pseudomonadota; Gammaproteobacteria; Enterobacterales; Enterobacteriaceae
Description: bacterial SSU rRNA
Rfam family: Bacterial small subunit ribosomal RNA
Source: RNAcentral
GGAGCUAACGCGUUAAGUCGACCGCCUGGGGAGUACGGCCGCAAGGUUAAAACUCAAAUGAAUUGACGGGGGCCCGCACAAGCGGUGGAGCAUGUGGUUUAAUUCGAUGCAACGCGAAGAACCUUACCUACUCUUGACAUCCAGAGAACUUUCCAGAGAUGGAUUGGUGCCUUCGGGAACUCUGAGACAGGUGCUGCAUGGCUGUCGUCAGCUCGUGUUGUGAAAUGUUGGGUUAAGUCCCGCAACGAGCGCAACCCUUAUCCUUUGUUGCCAGCGGUCCGGCCGGGAACUCAAAGGAGACUGCCAGUGAUAAACUGGAGGAAGGUGGGGAUGACGUCAAGUCAUCAUGGCCCUUACGAGUAGGGCUACACACGUGCUACAAUGGCGCAUACAAAGAGAAGCGAACUCGCGAGAGCAAGCGGACCUCAUAAAGUGCGUCGUAGUCCGGAUUGGAGUCUGCAACUCGACUCCAUGAAGUCGGAAUCGCUAGUAAUCGUAGAUCAGAAUGCUACGGUGAAUACGUUCCCGGGCCUUGUACACACCGCCCGUCACACCAUGGGAGUGGGUUGCAAAA